Photinus pyralis (common eastern firefly) is the source of this 553-nucleotide long non-coding RNA. RefSeq lists it as uncharacterized. The transcript is spliced from 2 exons. NCBI's taxonomy places the organism in Eukaryota, Metazoa, Arthropoda, Insecta, Coleoptera, Lampyridae. The record is from RefSeq and is a predicted model, not a curated record.
GUGUAAACAUGUGUAUAAAACAAUCAUGGUAAUUCCGAAAAUAAAUUAGCAAGUUGUAUUGAACCUACAAUCGCAGGUAUAUAUAAAACAAGUAUUAUUCAAAAAAUUUCAGUACUCGACCAAUUUUAAAACAGACUUAGUAAACAUGUUGCGCUCGAUAUUUAUUUUACUUGCCAUACUUGCGUUAACGUACGCUAUACCUUAUCCUCAACCUAAAGCGCUCGCACUUCUGGACGUCGCGGAGUCUGCAAAUCCUCACUAUCAUCAUCACCACCACCAUGGUCAUCACCAUCACCAUGGAUGGGGCGGCGGUUGGGGAGGCCAUCAUGGAGGCUGGGGAGGCCACCAUCACCACCAUUGGUAGUAGAAUGUGUUAAAAUUAAGUUAUGUGAUGUAAUUAACUUUCGUACAAAUGUCCGCUAACUUUGUGUCUACGUAUAGUGUUCGUCUUACUACAUAGAUAUGUUUAAGUUAUUUUGAUUUAAUAGUGUCUUCACGAUGAGGCAUUGUAAUAAGUUAACAACAAUAACAAAUAAAUUCCAAAAACUCAAAA